AUCUAUGGCCAUGCUACCCUGAACAAGCCUGAUCCCAUCUGAUUUCGGAAGCUAAGCAGGAUCGGGCCUGGUUAGUACUUGAAUGCGAGCCCACCUAGCCAGGUGCUGUAGGCA
RNAcentral lists this ribosomal RNA (114 nucleotides) under Pteropus alecto (black flying fox). Lineage: Eukaryota; Metazoa; Chordata; Mammalia; Chiroptera; Pteropodidae. The record is from RNAcentral.